This 481-nucleotide ribosomal RNA is filed under the name uncultured bacterium. RNAcentral describes it as "bacterial SSU rRNA". It matches the Rfam family "Bacterial small subunit ribosomal RNA", at positions 30 to 501 of the family's 1533-position model. The record is from RNAcentral.
AUUGAACGCUGGCGGCAGGCCUAACACAUGCAAGUCGAGCGGUAGAGAGGUGCUUGCAUCUCUUGAGAGCGGCGGACGGGUGAGUAAUGCCUAGGAAUCUGCCUAGUGGUGGGGGAUAACGUUCGGAAACGGACGCUAAUACCGCAUACGUCCUACGGGAGAAAGCGGGGGAGUCUUCGGACCUCGCGCCAUUAGAUGAGCCUAGGUCGGAUUAGCUAGUUGGUGAGGUAAUGGCUCACCAAGGCGACGAUCCGUAACUGGUCUGAGAGGAUGAUCAGUCACACUGGAACUGAGACACGGUCCAGACUCCUACGGGAGGCAGCAGUGGGGAAUAUUGGACAAUGGGCGAAAGCCUGAUCCAGCCAUGCCGCGUGUGUGAAGAAGGUCUUCGGAUUGUAAAGCACUUUAAGUUGGGAGGAAGGGCAGUAAGUUAAUAACGUUGGCUACUUUGACGUUACCGACAGAAUAAGCACCGGCUAAC